GAUGAACGCUAGCGGGAGGCUUAACACAUGCAAGUCGAGCGGCAAUCCCGAGCAAUCGGGACUAGAGCGGCGCACGGGUGAGUAACGCGUAUGCAACCUGCCUUUUACAGGGGGAUAGCCCGGAGAAAUCCGGAUUAAUACCCCAUGGAACUAUAAAGCCGCAUGGUUUAAUAGUUAAAGAUUUAUCGGUAAGAGAUGGGCAUGCGUGACAUUAGCUAGUUGGCGGGGUAACGGCCCACCAAGGCUACGAUGUCUAGGGGUUCUGAGAGGAUGAUCCCCCACACUGGUACUGAGACACGGACCAGACUCCUACGGGAGGCAGCAGUGAGGAAUAUUGGUCAAUGGGCGCAAGCCUGAACCAGCCAUCCCGCGUGAAGGAUGAAUGUACUAUGUAUUGUAAACUUCUUUUCUGCAAAGAGAAAGGGCACUACGUGUAGUGUUUUGACGGUAUUGCAGGAAUAAGCAUCGGCUAACUCCGUGCCAGCAGCCGCGGUAAUACGGAGGAUGCGAGCGUUAUCCGGAUUCAUUGGGUUUAAAGGGUGCGUAGGCGGUUUUUUAAGUCAGUGGUGAAAUCCUGCGGCUCAACCGUAGAACUGCCAUUGAAACUGAAGAACUUGAAUAUAGUUGAGGUAGGCGGAAUGUGCAGUGUAGCGGUGAAAUGCUUAGAUAUUGCACAGAACACCGAUUGCGAAGGCAGCUCACCAAGCUAUUAUUGACGCUGAGGCACGAAAGCGUGGGGAUCGAACAGGAUUAGAUACCCUGGUAGUCCACGCCUUAAACGAUGUUCACUCGCUGUUUGCGAUAUACCGUAAGCGGCCAAGCGAAAGCAUUAAGUGAACCACCUGGGGAGUACGUCGGCAACGGUGAAACUCAAAGGAAUUGACGGGGGCCCGCACAAGCGGUGGAGCAUGUGGUUUAAUUCGACGCAACGCGCAGAACCUUACCAGCCCUUGACAUCCCGGUCGCGGACUCCAGAGACGGAGUUCUUCAGUUCGGCUGGACCGGAGACAGGUGCUGCAUGGCUGUCGUCAGCUCGUGUCGUGAGAUGUUGGGUUAAGUCCCGCAACGAGCGCAACCCCCGUCCUUAGUUGCUACCAUUUAGUUGAGCACUCUAAGGAGACUGCCGGUGAUAAGCCGCGAGGAAGGUGGGGAUGACGUCAAGUCCUCAUGGCCCUUACGGGCUGGGCUACACACGUGCUACAAUGGCGGUGACAAUGGGAAGCGAAGGGGCAACCCCUAGCAAAUCUCAAAAAGCCGUCUCAGUUCGGAUUGGGCUCUGCAACUCGAGCCCAUGAAGUUGGAAUCGCUAGUAAUCGUGGAUCAGCAUGCCACGGUGAAUACGUUCCCGGGCCU
This 1353-nucleotide ribosomal RNA is filed under the name uncultured bacterium. Its description in RNAcentral is "bacterial SSU rRNA". It matches the Rfam family "Bacterial small subunit ribosomal RNA", at positions 28 to 1381 of the family's 1533-position model. The record is from RNAcentral.